This 1194-nucleotide ribosomal RNA is filed under the name Triticum aestivum (bread wheat). Its description in RNAcentral is "partial small subunit ribosomal RNA". Lineage: Eukaryota; Viridiplantae; Streptophyta; Magnoliopsida; Poales; Poaceae. The record is from RNAcentral.
AUGGAUAGGCAAGGCAUUUCAUCUCCGGUCUUCAACGACAACGACGGCCCGAACAACUACAUUAACAAAACGUCCAUCUUCGGGCUACAACGAGCAAUGCACGACAUUGAGCGACUCACCAUCGACAUUCACCAAAGCGAAGCAAGGAAAAGGGACUACAUCUACACCAAGUUGGCGGAACAAAUGGAUCAAGUACAAGACAUGUUGGCCAACUACAAGUCUUCUUCCCCUUCGUCAUCUUCUCGGCGGCGACGCUCUAGUAGCAAAUCUUCGGAACGCCAUCGAGCUCAAGCACUACAACACCAUCAAGAUGAAGAUGCUCGCGAUGCGUACACCUACAAGUCCCAAAAAGCUCUACAUCAAGCUACGGCCAAACUUCAUGAGCACAAGAGAAGACCGCGAGACAAGCACCACCAAGAGGACUCUACGACUACUACUACCACCACUCUGGCAUCUUCGCCAAGUGUUAUCAAGGCGUCUUCGCCUUUGGACGUGCGACAUCUUCGCCUACCUCCGACGAGUACGCCUACAUCGGCCUUCAUCCACGGCGACGGUGACGAGAUGAUCGAGCAUGGGAUUUUCCCUUCGGUCAUGGAGGAGAGUGAUGAUGUGCCAUCUUCGGCCUUCAUCCACGGCUACGACCACGACAUGAUUGAGCAUGGAGACAUUUGCACCUACAUCUCUCCGACUCCCACAUAUGACGAGAUGCCCCAAUUCCCAUGUGAGGAGAGCCACCCCAACAUGAGUGAUAUGAGUGCCUCCACCAUAUGUGACAUUGAGAGCAUUUCCUAUGAGAGGAUGAGUGUGACCACCACUAGCCCCACACACGAGAUUAUGCCACACAUCCUAUGUGAGGUUGAGAGCAUGAGUGACUCCACCUACCAUAUGAGUGAGAGCAUCUUGCCGGGAGUGAGUGAGCCACAACACUUAGUGAGUGAGGUAGUUGAGACGGAACAUGAGGCCACUAUGAUUUCUAACGACUUAACCUCUACUCCGAGUGUGUUUUCUUCUUUGGUGCUAGGUCUCCUACAUGACGACAUGCCUAUCCUCGAUGAUUCCAUACCUCCAAUGGAGAUGACGAUGGCCAUGGUGGAUGAUGAUGCACCCCCACAUUCCACCACGAUGAAGAUGACAAUGAUUGGAUCGUCGACACCUCACCUACAACACAUGAGCGAUGCUCCAAAGGUAACAUAG